ACAGCAGUAGCCACGGGAAUACGAAGGGUGCAAGCGUUAAUCGGAAUUACUGGGCGUAAAGCGUGCGUAGGCGGUUUGUUAAGUCUGUUGUGAAAUCCCCGGGCUCAACCUGGGAAUGGCAAUGGAUACUGGCAAGCUAGAGUGUGUCAGAGGAUGGUGGAAUUCCCGGUGUAGCGGUGAAAUGCGUAGAGAUCGGGAGGAACAUCAGUGGCGAAGGCGGCCAUCUGGGACAACACUGACGCUGAGGCACGAAAGCGUGGGGAGCAAACAGGAUUAGAUACCCGCGUAGUCCCUGUCUCUUAUAC
Molecule: ribosomal RNA, 305 nt
Filed under: uncultured bacterium
Lineage: Bacteria
Description: partial 16S ribosomal RNA
Rfam family: Bacterial small subunit ribosomal RNA
Source: RNAcentral